GUGAACAAAGCUGCCAUAAACAUGGCAGUGCAGAGUUGUUGGAGCUCCUGAUAUAUUCUGGUUAUGAAUCCCUUGUCAGAUGAAAAGAACAAUUUCCUAUCCAGAGAUAACCAGCUUAAGAGGUUAUUGAGAGGCUAUAUAUGUCUGUUGAGAUAAAAGAAUAUUUUCAUAAAGCUAUCAGCUCAAAUGCAUGGCUACCCUUAAGGCCUAGAAGAAUUAAGACAACAGACAUCUGGGACUCCCCAUUAAUAUAGGCAAGUGUUUAAGAAAAUGUAGUCACUAGAUGAUUUUGCCAAAUUAUAGCAAUUUAUAGUCUUGACUGCUUCUACAUAACCCAUUCAGUAUAUAUACACACACACACAUAUUAUGUUAACAGUAAGUAUAUAUUAACACAGUUAUAUCCAAAUAAAUUGCAGCAUAUUUCCACCAAAAAUUUUGUUACAAACUGGUUAAGGUAUGGAUUUCAUAGGAUGACAUCAGAAAAUAUCCUGUUAAUUAAAUAGCAGACACCUACUUUGUUGUUAAGCUAAAUGUUGAGGAAAACAGUUGAUCCCUAUUUUUCUUGAAUUAGCUUUUAUGCUAGUCUCUGAGAAUACCAAAA
This 601-nucleotide long non-coding RNA is filed under the name Papio anubis (olive baboon). RNAcentral describes it as "lncRNA (ENSPANG00000047356.1)". Lineage: Eukaryota; Metazoa; Chordata; Mammalia; Primates; Cercopithecidae. The record is from RNAcentral.